AUUGAACGCUGGCGGCAGGCCUAACACAUGCAAGUCGAGCGGUAGAGAGAAGCUUGCUUCUCUUGAGAGCGGCGGACGGGUGAGUAAUGCCUAGGAAUCUGCCUGGUAGUGGGGGAUAACGUUCGGAAACGGACGCUAAUACCGCAUACGUCCUACGGGAGAAAGCAGGGGACCUUAGGGCCUUGCGCUAUCAGAUGAGCCCAGGUCGGAUUAGCUAGUUGGUGAGGUAAUGGCUCACCAAGGCGACGAUCCGUAACUGGUCUGAGAGGAUGAUCAGUCACACUGGAACUGAGACACGGUCCAGACUCCUACGGGAGGCAGCAGUGGGGAAUAUUGGACAAUGGGCGAAAGCCUGAUCCAGCCAUGCCGCGUGUGUGAAGAAGGUCUUCGGAUUGUAAAGCACUUUAAGUUGGGAGGAAGGGCAGUUACCUAAUACGUGAUUGUUUUGACGUUACCGACAGAAUAAGCACCGGCUAACUCUGUGCCAGCAGCCGCGGUAAUACAGAGGGUGCAAGCGUUAAUCGGAAUUACUGGGCGUAAAGCGCGCGUAGGUGGUUAGUUAAGUUGGAUGUGAAAUCCCCGGGCUCAACCUGGGAACUGCAUUCAAAACUGACUGACUAGAGUAUGGUAGAGGGUGGUGGAAUUUCCUGU
Molecule: ribosomal RNA, 651 nt
Filed under: uncultured Pseudomonas sp.
Lineage: Bacteria; Pseudomonadati; Pseudomonadota; Gammaproteobacteria; Pseudomonadales; Pseudomonadaceae
Description: bacterial SSU rRNA
Rfam family: Bacterial small subunit ribosomal RNA
Source: RNAcentral